RNAcentral lists this ribosomal RNA (543 nucleotides) under Leptammina grisea. Its description in RNAcentral is "partial 18S ribosomal RNA". The stretch from base 1 to 437 matches the Rfam family "Eukaryotic small subunit ribosomal RNA", at positions 1220 to 1501 of the family's 1831-position model. Lineage: Eukaryota; Foraminifera; Astrorhizida; Saccamminidae. The record is from RNAcentral.
GGGUCCGGACACACUGAGGAUUGACAGGCAAUUAUUGUGCUUUGUAACUUUUUUUAAGUUGCUUACACAACAACAAAUUAUGCUAGUCCUUUCAUGAUUAUGUGAUAGGUGGUGCAUGGCCGUUCUUAGUUCGUGGAGUGAUCUGUCUGCUUAAUUGCGUUUCAUCAGGGACCAUGUUUAUUUAUGUACUUUCUUACUCGCUUUUUAAGCACUUUUUGUGUUUUUUAAGCUUGUACUUUAGUGCAAUUGGUCCUGAAAGCAACGAACGUGACCGCAUCCUCUUGUUGCCUUUUUAACUUGAGUUGUUUACACUUCUCAUAACAUAAGAGGCUUUCCUAAAACUAGAGGGACCGCUGCGACUUUUUUAAACCAGAGGAAGGUUGCGGCAAUAACAGGUCUGUGAUGCCCUUAGAUGUUCCGGGCUGCACACGUGCUACAAUGAUUAUUGCAGUGAGCAUCUCAUUUUAUUUUUUGUGCUUGUCUUGUCUGACUCUUUUACGAGGGAAAGACGACAGCCUUAGCCUGCUUCGAAAGUUCGCAGGU